This 429-nucleotide ribosomal RNA is filed under the name Bacteroidota bacterium. RNAcentral's name for it is "Bacteroidetes bacterium partial 16S ribosomal RNA". It matches the Rfam family "Bacterial small subunit ribosomal RNA", at positions 355 to 776 of the family's 1533-position model. The record is from RNAcentral. Lineage: Bacteria; Pseudomonadati; Bacteroidota.
UAGGGAAUCUUCCGCAAUGGACGCAAGUCUGACGGAGCAACGCCGCGUGAGUGAAGAAGGAUUUCGGUUCGUAAAACUCUGUUGUUAGAGAAGAACAGCGCAUAGAGUAACUGUUAUGCGUGUGACGGUAUCUAACCAGAAAGCCACGGCUAACUACGUGCCAGCAGCCGCGGUAAUACGUAGGUGGCAAGCGUUGUCCGGAUUUAUUGGGCGUAAAGCGAGCGCAGGCGGUCAAUUAAGUCUGAUGUGAAAGCCCCCGGCUCAACCGGGGAGGGUCAUUGGAAACGGGUUGACUUGAGUGCAGAAGAGGAGAGUGGAAUUCCAUGUGUAGCGGUGAAAUGCGUAGAUAUAUGGGGGAACACCAGUGGCGAAGGCGACUCUCUGGUCUGUAACUGACGCUGAGGCUCGAAAGCGUGGGUAGCAAACAGG